RNAcentral lists this long non-coding RNA (239 nucleotides) under Mytilus galloprovincialis (Mediterranean mussel). Lineage: Eukaryota; Metazoa; Mollusca; Bivalvia; Mytilida; Mytilidae. The record is from RNAcentral.
AAUGCUAAAAUUGUGAAGAUUUAAGUUAUUUAACAUGACUUAAUGAUACUAGUACUCGAUAUAUGUGCAUUGUAUUGUCAAAAACAGACCAUAUUUAUGUAGCUGAAGCAUUCUACUUUCCAAUAAAUAAUUAAAAGGUUAACAUUUUGACAAUUUUGUAAAACUGCUAUUUGUUGGGGCCAAAAAGGGGUCUUACUUCACCUACUCCUUUGACUGAUCCUGUCGAAGAUCUCUAAACA